AGGGUUUGAUUAUGGCUCAGGAUGAACGCUAGCGGCAGGCUUAACACAUGCAAGUCGAGGGGCAGCGUGGAGCAGCAAUGCUCUGACGGCGACCGGCGGAAGGGUGCGUAACACGUGAGCGACUUGCCCGUCACAGGGGGAUAACCGGCGGAAACGGCGACUAAUACCCCAUACGAUGCGAUGCUGCAUGGCAUUGCAUUGAAAGAUUCAUCGGUGGCGGAUAGGCUCGCGGGACAUUAGCUAGACGGCGGGGCAACGGCCCACCGUGGCGACGAUGUCUAGGGGUUCUGAGAGGAAGGCCCCCCACACUGGGACUGAGACACGGCCCAG
This 330-nucleotide ribosomal RNA is filed under the name uncultured bacterium. RNAcentral's name for it is "bacterial SSU rRNA". It matches the Rfam family "Bacterial small subunit ribosomal RNA", at positions 8 to 334 of the family's 1533-position model. The record is from RNAcentral.